UACGAAGGGGGCUGGCGUUGCGCGGAAUCACUGGGCGUAAAGCGCACGUAGGCGGAUCCUUAAGUCGGGGGUGAAAUCCUGGAGCUCAACUCCAGAACUGCCUUCGAUACUGAGGAUCUCGAGUCCGGGAGAGGUGAGUGGAACUGCGAGUGUAGAGGUGAAAUUCGUAGAUAUUCGCAAGAACACCAGUGGCGAAGGCGGCUCACUGGCCCGGUACUGACGCUGAGGUGCGAAAGCGUGGGGAGCAAACAGG
RNAcentral lists this ribosomal RNA (253 nucleotides) under uncultured bacterium. RNAcentral's name for it is "partial 16S ribosomal RNA". It matches the Rfam family "Bacterial small subunit ribosomal RNA", at positions 524 to 776 of the family's 1533-position model. The record is from RNAcentral.